GGAGUUGUGGCUCAGUGGUAGAGCGCUUGCCUAGCAUGUGUGAUGCACUACGUUUGAUUCUCAGCACCA
Molecule: transfer RNA, 69 nt
Filed under: Marmota monax (woodchuck)
Lineage: Eukaryota; Metazoa; Chordata; Mammalia; Rodentia; Sciuridae
Description: tRNA.Ala
Source: RNAcentral